UUUUGGAACCUUACCUGGGCUAGAAUGUAUUUUGCUACCUUGAGAAAUUGAGGGUUCCUUCGGGACGGAAUACAAGGUGCUGCAUGGCUGUCGUCAGCUCGUGCCGUGAGGUGUUGGGUUAAGUCCUAUAACGAGCGAAACCCUUUUACUUAAUUGCCAGCACGUAAUGGUGGGGACUUUAAGUAGACUGCCCGUGUAAGCGGGAGGAAGGAGAGGACGAGGUCAAGUCAUCAUGGCCUUUAUGCCCAGGGCUACACACGUACUACAAUGGCAUGUACAAAGGGAAGCUACUUGGUAACAAGAUGCAAAUCUAAAAAGCAUGUCUCAGUUCGGAUUGAGGUCUGCAAUUCGGCCUCAUGAAGUUGGAAUCGCUAGUAAUCGCGUAUCAGCAAUGACGCGGUGAAUACGUUCUCGGACCUUGUACACACCGCCCAUCAAGCCAUGGGAGUUGGUAGAGCUUGAAGACAGUGGCAAA
This 475-nucleotide ribosomal RNA is filed under the name Cardinium endosymbiont of Uroobovella sp. Its description in RNAcentral is "bacterial SSU rRNA". It matches the Rfam family "Bacterial small subunit ribosomal RNA", at positions 961 to 1437 of the family's 1533-position model. The record is from RNAcentral. Lineage: Bacteria; Pseudomonadati; Bacteroidota; Cytophagia; Cytophagales; Amoebophilaceae.